GGUAUAAUAGCAUAAGUGGUAGAGUGCAUGCCUAGCAAGCAUGAGGUCCUGGGUUCAAUCCCCAGCACUUCCU
This 73-nucleotide transfer RNA is filed under the name Camelus bactrianus (Bactrian camel). It matches the Rfam family "tRNA". From Rfam's summary of the family: Transfer RNA (tRNA) molecules are approximately 80 nucleotides in length. RNAcentral also lists the same sequence under 2 other names. Lineage: Eukaryota; Metazoa; Chordata; Mammalia; Artiodactyla; Camelidae. The record is from Rfam by way of RNAcentral.